This 460-nucleotide ribosomal RNA is filed under the name uncultured bacterium. Its description in RNAcentral is "partial 16S ribosomal RNA". It matches the Rfam family "Bacterial small subunit ribosomal RNA", at positions 338 to 795 of the family's 1533-position model. The record is from RNAcentral.
CCUACGGGAGGCAGCAGUGGGGAAUAUUGGUCAAUGGACGGAAGUCUGAACCAGCGAUGCCGCGUGCGUGAAGACGUCUCUCUGAGUUGUAAACUGCUUUUGUACGGGGGUAAACGCAGAUACGCGUAUCUGUCUGAAAGUAUCGUACGAAUAAGGAUCGGCUAACUCCGUGCCAGCAGCCGCGGUAAUACGGAUGAGUCAAGCGUUAUCCGGAUUUAUUGGGUUUAAAGGGUGCGUAGGCGGUCGGAUAAGUUAGAGGUGAAAUCCCGAGGCUCAACUUCGGAAUUGCCUUUGAUACUGGUCGGCUAGAGAGUAGUUGCGGUAGGCGGAAUGUAUGGUGUAGCGGUGAAAUGCGUAGAGAUCAGACAGAACAUCGAUUGCGAAGGCAGUUUACUAAGCUAUUUCUGACGCUGAGGAACGAAAGCGUGGGGAGCAAAUAGGAUUAGAUACCCGGGUAGUC